AGUGAACGCUGGCGGUAGGCCUAACACAUGCAAGUCGAACGGCCGCACAGUAAGAGCUUGCUCUUACGGGUGGCGAGUGGCGGACGGGUGAGGAAUACAUCGGAAUCUACUUUUUCGUGGGGGAUAACGUAGGGAAACUUACGCUAAUACCGCAUACGACCUACGGGUGAAAGCAGGGGAUCUUCGGACCUUGCGCGAUUGAAUGAGACGAUGUCGGAUUAGCUAGUUGGCGGGGUAAAGGCCCACCAAGGCGACGAUCCGUAGCUGGUCUGAGAGGAUGAUCAGCCACACUGGAACUGAGACACGGUCCAGACUCCUACGGGAGGCAGCAGUGGGGAAUAUUGGACAAUGGGCGCAAGCCUGAUCCAGCCAUACCGCGUGGGUGAAGAAGGCCUUCGGGUUGUAAAGCCCUUUUGUUGGGAAAGAAAAGCAGCAGGUUAAUACCCCGCUGUUCUGACGGUACCCAAAGAAUAAGCACCGGCUAACUUCGUG
RNAcentral lists this ribosomal RNA (492 nucleotides) under uncultured bacterium. RNAcentral describes it as "partial 16S ribosomal RNA". It matches the Rfam family "Bacterial small subunit ribosomal RNA", at positions 29 to 507 of the family's 1533-position model. The record is from RNAcentral.